Cornus florida is the source of this 1818-nucleotide long non-coding RNA. RefSeq lists it as uncharacterized. The record is from RefSeq and is a predicted model, not a curated record. Lineage: Eukaryota; Viridiplantae; Streptophyta; Magnoliopsida; Cornales; Cornaceae. The transcript has 5 exons.
UAUGUUCAGGCUGCAGUAUUUCAAACUUGUCAUGCUAUAGGGAGCACUAAAUUACCUUUACUAUUGCACCAUUAUUCACGAUGCUUGCUGUCAUUGAUGUAGAUGCUUCAGUAGUUUGAGUAAUUAUCUGGCUUAGUUAACUGAUCUUAUGUCUUUGACUCUUUGUUAUUCUUUGACUCGUGAUUUUAUAUUUAGAUGCAAUAACUUAAUUUUUCUGAAACAUCUUAUGAUACAGCAUUAUGUGUAGAUGCAGAUAAAACCAAAAAGAAGCAUUGUAGCCUGGGCCCUGGCAUAACGAAUCUUUUUUUCUAUAACUUUUUUUCUUUUUCUUUAUUUGCUAGCAACUGGUAGAUGUCUAUCCAUGGCAUUUAGGUUUAGAAUCAAACAGAUACAACCUGACCUUCCUGGCCCGUAGUCUGUUGAUCUAUAUCUUGAUUUGAAAACAUGAGGUGACUUCUAUCAUCUCUUUGGUUACCAUAAAACAUAAUGUUUUGUGUUCAUAUUGUUAUCUUGUCGAUUCAGCCAGCUCAAACUCAAUUGAACAAAUAAAAAGAAGGGCAGAAAGAAGAGAUUUGAUUUCUCACACUUGUUAUAAUUUAUGUUAUUGUUAACAAAAAACGAAAAAUCAUUAUAAUUUUGACACAACGCAGGUUUUAAGCCAUGUUUCUUGUAAGAAUUUCUUAAGGAGAUUGCUGAAGUUGAGAGAGUGGCAAUAUAAUUGCUUCAUAGCCUUGAUUGAAACAAAUAAUGCUACUAUUUGUGCUUUGUAUUUCUUAGUUCUUUAGACUGAUGUAGAAUCUACCAGCCAAUGCAAUGGUGUAAAAGUAGUUAUUCUAACAAUUUGUAGAACCAUAUGGAUGUUUAGUUACAUGAGCCAUAGGUUUCUUAUAUUGUUCUGUCAUUUAGUUAUUUAUCUAACUGCAGUUACGCUGAGUAAGAUUUCAAUUCAAUAUGUUGAAUCUUCAUUCUUCUUUAUCUGUAGGUCUAAUUCUUUGGAACCAUUAACAAGGACAACGAGGGGUAGUGACAAAAUCAUUCAUUGUGAGGACUUGUGUCUCAAUCUGACGUCAUGAAUCCCCUCGCCAAAAUGCAUUUGUCAAUUCAAUUACUUUUGAUGACUUUACCAUAGAAUUGUUCUUGUGCCAAUUCUGUGAUGCUCAUACUUGCUCAGGAAUGCGAAAUCCCUUCUCCAGAGGAGGCAGGAAACAGUCAUAGAAAGCAUUUUGAUUAAAUGUGUGCAAGCCACCUGAAUUUUAUUGGCUGCCAAAUGGAGGACUUCACACUUUGGAAGUAUACAAGCAUUUUCUACUUGGCUAUUUCAAUAUUAACCUUGAUGCUGCUACCUAUCUUCUAUCUUAUUGUUUAUUUGUACCAAAGGGAAAUGAGAAAGGGAACCCAAGAGCUGAAGCGCAUCUCACAAAUUGGACAAAAAACAAAGCCCUCUUAGUCUAAGUUUUUGGAACCAUUAACGAGGACAACAACGAGGGGUAGUGACAAAAUCAUUCAUUGUGAAGACUUAUGUCUCAAUCUGACAUCACGGAUCCCCUCACCAAAUUGCAUUUGUCAAUGGAAGCCUCGGGUCAGCAGAUUCGCUUGGUAAACUUGCUCCAUUUAUUAGUGGUGCAGCAUUCCUGCAUCCCAACAUUGUGGUUUUUAUUGUAAACAAAAAAUUUAUCAGACAAUAGAGGUGCGUUUUCUGAUGAAUACAAUUUUCUGUAGGCGUGAUCUAGCCCUUUUGUCCUUGUAUUGGAAGGAACACCAGAGACUAAAUAACUAAAACUUAUAGACUUUAUCAUAAGAAAAACCACCUUGGGUUCA